RNAcentral lists this small nucleolar RNA (108 nucleotides) under Eutrema salsugineum. Its description in RNAcentral is "Plant small nucleolar RNA R71". It matches the Rfam family "Plant small nucleolar RNA R71". Rfam says of the family: R71 is a member of the C/D box family of snoRNAs containing the C (UGAUGA) and D (CUGA) box motifs. Multiple nearly identical copies of this snoRNA have been identified in Arabidopsis, and it is thought to function as a 2'-O-ribose methylation guide for 18S ribosomal RNA. The record is from Rfam by way of RNAcentral. Lineage: Eukaryota; Viridiplantae; Streptophyta; Magnoliopsida; Brassicales; Brassicaceae.
AACCCAUGGUGUGGGCAUUGGUUGGUGUAGCUCCUGAAUCUCUCAUAUGCUUCACCAAAACUCUCAUUGCUGUGUUGAGUGAAGCAUAGAGAUUUGGUUUCUCAGUUU